Molecule: long non-coding RNA, 341 nt
Filed under: Pan troglodytes (chimpanzee)
Lineage: Eukaryota; Metazoa; Chordata; Mammalia; Primates; Hominidae
Description: long non-coding RNA NONPTRT012492
Source: RNAcentral
UUAACGGGUGCAGCACACCAACAUGGCACAUGUAUACAUCCACUGCAUUCCAGCCUGGGUGACAGAGCAAGAGCUAGUCUCUAAAAAUUAAAAAUAAAGAAGAUGCAAGGAGAUAAAAGGAGAUUGCUGUCAGAUCUUAAAGGAGCAUGACAUUCUCUCCCUGAAUCAUGUGUUUAAGCCACAAAAAUUUUGUUCUCGUAAGGCCAUCAGAUGAAUAGUCUCUUUAGGUACAGUUUGGAUUUUGUUAUUAUUUAGGUCAAGUAUUUGAAUACUUUUGGGCGUGUAAUGUAUACUAAAAUAUUAUACUGCAUUAAUAUGUAAAUAUAACACAGUAUAAUUAU